Molecule: long non-coding RNA, 675 nt
Organism: Rosa rugosa (rugosa rose)
Lineage: Eukaryota; Viridiplantae; Streptophyta; Magnoliopsida; Rosales; Rosaceae
Exons: 4
Source: RefSeq, a predicted model, not a curated record
CUGGGGCGUUGGGAUUUCGAUCUGUUUGGUUUUUAUUUGAUGACGGUGGCUGCACGGAGACUGGGUGAGCGGAAGAUGGUGGUGACUGGGUGUGUGGCGACGGUCGGGGAUUCGGAUCCGGCAGUAGGGUUGUUGACCCUCUGGGUUUGGGGAUAUAGGCUCGGGUGUUGAUCUUCUUCAUGGAAUUGGGCAUGCGAGCUUUGUGUUUGUGGUGGUGGGUGAUGUGUGGUCAACGACGAUUGGGGUUCGGUAUCGGCGCCAAACAGAUUAUGGAGGAGCCUACAAUCCUGCAGCAGUGUCCAAACACGGUGUACUACAUAUUAUCACAUUAUAUUGGUUUAUUUCUUAUUUUCUUUCCAUUCUACUAGUCGGUCACAGUGUAUUAUUAACAUUCGAGGUGUUGCCGACAAGUUUGAUGGAGAGGAUAACAAUAAAGCAAAUGAAGUCGUCCUGAGUAUUGUUGACCUUGCUGGAGCUGAAAGAGAAAAGAGAACUGGGAAUCAGGGAGCAAGGUUGCUUGAAAGUAAUUUCAUCAACAACACAUCGAUGGUUUUUGGCUUGUGCUUGAGAUCCUUAUUGGAGCAUCAGAAGAACCCUAAGAAGCCAAUGCAAAAGCACUUUCAGAACUCAUUGUUGACCAAGUACUUGAGAGACUAUUUGGAAGGCAAGAAGGGG